This 468-nucleotide ribosomal RNA is filed under the name uncultured bacterium. RNAcentral's name for it is "partial 16S ribosomal RNA". It matches the Rfam family "Bacterial small subunit ribosomal RNA", at positions 28 to 507 of the family's 1533-position model. The record is from RNAcentral.
GACGAACGCUGGCGGCGUGCUUAACACAUGCAAGUCGAACGGAAAGGCCCUGCUUUUGUGGGGUGCUCGAGUGGCGAACGGGUGAGUAACACGUGAGUAACCUGCCCUUGACUUUGGGAUAACUUCAGGAAACUGGGGCUAAUACCGGAUAGGAGCUCCUGCUGCACGGUGGGGGUUGGAAAGUUUCGGCGGUUGGGGCUGGACUCGCGGCUUACCAGCUUGUUGGUGGGGUAGUGGCUUACCAAGGCUUUGACGGGUAGCCGGCCUGAGAGGGUGACCGGCGACAUUGGGACUGAGAGACGGCGCAGAAUCCUACGGGAGGCAGCAGUGGGGAAUAUUGCGCAAUGGGCGGAAGCCUGAUGCAGCAACGCCGCGUGCGGGAUGACGGCCUUCGGGUUGUAAACCGCUUUCGCCUGUGACGAAGCGUGAGUGACGGUAAUGGGUAAAGAAGCACCGGCUAACUACGUG